This 460-nucleotide long non-coding RNA is filed under the name Medicago truncatula (barrel medic). RNAcentral describes it as "lncRNA gene3809". Lineage: Eukaryota; Viridiplantae; Streptophyta; Magnoliopsida; Fabales; Fabaceae. The record is from RNAcentral.
CAUUUGGUCUAGUGGUUUGAUUCUCGCUUUGGGUGCGAGAGGUCCUGAGUUCGAUUUGCUGAGUGCCCCUUUUGAAGGUUAAGAGUUUAACUUUUUCAAUAUUUUAGUUUAAUACAGGAAGCUCGGUGUUUUUUAUUUAUUGUUGAAGAUCUGGAAGCUGACAAGGUUGACUUAUUAAUUGGUUAGUUAAAAUACCCAUAAACAUCAGUUUUUAAGCCUCAAAGAUGAAUGCUGUGAUACAUGUAUAAUGUAUUAGUAUCCAGAUUUUUGUCCUAAUGUGAUAAAGUCUCCAUUUAAAAUUACAAUUGACAAAUAGUUUCUUUUAUAAUCAUGUGAAAAAGUUGCAUUGUUGUCUGAGAUGAAGUGUUGAGUAAAAAGCCAACACAAAAAAGAUUGUGGUCCAUGAGGAUGCUGCAAUGGAUGAGGGGAAAUACUAGACGAGGAAGGAUCCCUAACAAAA